AUCCAGAAGACGAGUCCCAAAUAGGACGAAACGCUCGUCCCGGAU
RNAcentral lists this non-coding RNA (45 nucleotides) under Schistosoma haematobium. The record is from RNAcentral. Lineage: Eukaryota; Metazoa; Platyhelminthes; Trematoda; Strigeidida; Schistosomatidae.